AUACAGGGCCAACGGUCUUGUUAUUGGAAUGAGAACAAUUUAAAUAACUUAACGAGGAUCAAUUAGAGGGCAAGUCUGGUGCCAGCAGCCGCGGUAAUUCCAGCUCUAAUAGCGUAUAUUAAAGUUGUUGCAGUUAAAAAGCUCGUAGUCGGAUUUUGGGCGCGUGUGAACUGUCAGCCUCUGGUUGGACGGUGCGCGCGUGCCUUUCUGCUUGGGAGCCCCAUGGUGGUUAAUUCUGUCGUGGUGGGUCACAGGCCGUUUACUUUGAAAAAAAAUUAGAGUGUUCAAAGCAGGCUGUUGCUUGAAUAGAUUAGCAUGGAAUAAUGGAAUAGGACCUUGGUGCUAUUUCGUUGGUUAUGGGACUGGGGUAAUGAUUAAUAGGGACAGUUGGGGCCGUUCAUAUUUCGUUGUCAGAGGUGAAAUUCUUGGAUUUACGAACGAUGAACUUGUGCGAAAGCAUUCGGCAAGGAUGUUUUCAUUGAUCAAGAACGAAAGUUAGGGGAUCGAAGACGAUCAGAUACCGUCGUAGUCUUAACCAUAAACUAUGCCAACUAGGGAUCAUUGAGUGUCAAUUUACGACCUCAUUGGCACCUUGUGAGAAAUCAAAGUCUUUGGGUUCCGGGGGGAGUAUGGUCGCAAGGCUGAAACUUAAAGGAAUUGACGGAAGGGCACCACCAGGAGUGGAGCCUGCGGCUUAAUUUGACUCAACACGGGGAAACUUACCAGGUCCAGACAUAGCCAGGAUGAACAGAUUGAAAGCUCUUUCUUGAUUCUAUGGGUGGUGGUGCAUGGCCGUUCUUAGUUGGUGGAGUGAUUUGUCUGGUUAAUUCCGUUAACGAACGAGACCUCAGCCUGCUAACUAGCGAUGCCCAUUUUAAUGGGUAGCCCGCUUCUUAGAGGGACUAUUCGUGUUCAACGAAUGGAAGUUUGAGGCAAUAACAGGUCUGUGAUGCCCUUAGAUGUUCUGGACCGCACGCGCGCUACACUGAUGGAUGCAACGAGCUCUACCCUUGACCGAAAGGCCCGGGUAAACUUGUCAAAAUCCAUCGUGAUGGGGAUAGAUUAUUGCAAUUCUUGAUCUUCAACGAGGAAUUCCUAGUAAGCGCGAGUCAUCAGCUCGCGUUGAUUACGUCCCUGCCCUUUGUACACACCGCCCGUCGCUCCUACCGAUUGAAUGGUCCGGCGAAAUCUUCAGAUUGCUGGCGAGGCUAACCCCUCGCUGUGAGAAGUUGAU
This 1234-nucleotide ribosomal RNA is filed under the name metagenome. RNAcentral's name for it is "SSU rRNA". It matches the Rfam family "Eukaryotic small subunit ribosomal RNA", at positions 483 to 1759 of the family's 1831-position model. The record is from RNAcentral.